Molecule: ribosomal RNA, 442 nt
Filed under: uncultured bacterium
Lineage: Bacteria
Description: partial 16S ribosomal RNA
Rfam family: Bacterial small subunit ribosomal RNA
Source: RNAcentral
AUGCACGCUGGCGGCAUGCCUAACACAUGCAAGUCGAUCGGUAAGGCUCUUCGGAGUACACGAGAGGCGGACGGCUGAGUAACGCGUAGGAACACACCCUGCAGUGAGGGAUAAGACACCGAAAGGUGUUCUAAUACCGCAUACGGUCUUCGGAUUAAAGCAUUUAUGCGCUGAAGGAGUGGCCUGCGUCAUAUUAGAUAGUUGGUGAGGUAAUGGCUCACCAAGUCGAUGAUGUGUAGCUGGUCUGAGAGGAUGAUCAGCCAGACUGGAACUGAGACACGGUCCAGACUCCUACGGGAGGCAGCAGUGAGGAAUAUUUCACAAUGAGCGAAAGCUUGAUGGAGCAAUGCCGCGUGCAGGAUGAAGGCCCUCGGGUUGUAAACUGCUUUUAUAAGAGAAGAUUAUGACGGUAACUUAUGAAUAAGGGACGGCUAACUACGUG